Molecule: long non-coding RNA, 1048 nt
Organism: Thalassophryne amazonica
Lineage: Eukaryota; Metazoa; Chordata; Actinopteri; Batrachoidiformes; Batrachoididae
Exons: 2
Source: RefSeq, a predicted model, not a curated record
GUACAUGUGCCAAAUUUGGUGCUUGCAUCACCAUUUGAAGCAUUUUUUUUUCAGUUAUCCGCUGCACUAUACUUGUUACAAUGACAAUGAAGAAUCUGUAUCUGUAGCUCCAUUUCAGAAGUUAUCAAUAAAAGCAUUGUUGAGUUGAAUGAGUUUAUAAUGAUCACUCUUCAUUUCUCUAGUUUUUCUCCACAAAUAGUAUAAGAUUAUGAUCCAUCACCUGUGAUUAUGAUGCACCACAUGGCAGUGACACUAGAUCUGCCAGUUCUGGAUUGGGUCUAGGUUACUGUAGCAAUAGAGUGAAUUUUUGAAGUAUGGGUGAAAUCAUUCAUUCCACGAGUCAUUAAUUAUUUGUGAAGAUGUGAUGCUUCAAAAAAAAAAAAUCACUUUGUAUAUGUUCCCAUUACAUUUAGUGUUAAACAAGGUACACUGCCCUGUCUACACGGUGCAUUAUGGUGUUACUAGACUUUAUUAAACAAACAAAUAGCAGGCAGGGGCAGUGACCAAGCAGCUAGUGUGCUUGUUUUCAGUGUCGAAAGGUUCCCAGUUAAACCCCACCCCUGCUCCUUCUCCACGUAAUGUGGAGUUGCGUCAGGAAGGGCAUCCGGUGUAAAACAUGUGCCCAGUCAACAUGUAGAUCCACCUUGGACUUGCUGUGGCAACCCAAAGAGAAAACAAGGGAGCAGCCAAAUGGACUUACACUUACUUACUAUUAAAGUUAUCUGUGGUUAAUACAAAAGUUAGCUUUAACCACAGUUACCAUGACUGAAUACUGCCAGAUUAUUGCAUUAAAGAUCACGUUAAUGAUGGUUAAUACUAAUAGUUGGUUAAUACCAAUAGUUGGCAUCUGUUACACAACUACACUUUGCCAGAAGUAAAAGAUAACCACUUAGUAUAUGCUGUUAGCAUAUGCAGUCAUGCUAGCUGUGGUUAAAGCUAACGGUAUGAUUCAACUGCAGUUAGGAUGACUGCAUACUGAGAAAUUGUACUAAAGAUCAUACUUAUCAUGGUUAGCUUAAACCGUGAUUAGCAACACUGCGUGCUGCUG